GUCCACGCCAUAAACGAUGAAUGCUAGCCGUUGGGCAGCUUGCUGUUCAGUGGCGCAGCUAACGCAUUAAGCAUUCCGCCUGGGGAGUACGGCCGCAAGGUUGAAACUCAAAGGAAUUGACGGGGGCCCCGCACAAGCGGUGGAGCAUGUGGUUUAAUUCGACGCAACGCGCAGAACCUUACCAGGGUUUGACAUCCUGCGACCGCCCUCUAACAGGGGUUUUCCCGCAAGGGACGCAGAGACAGGUGCUGCAUGGCUGUCGU
Molecule: ribosomal RNA, 263 nt
Filed under: uncultured bacterium
Lineage: Bacteria
Description: partial 16S ribosomal RNA
Rfam family: Bacterial small subunit ribosomal RNA
Source: RNAcentral